AGAGUUUGAUCAUGGCUCAGAAUCAACGCUGGCGGCGUGCCUAACACAUGCAAGUCGAACGCGAAAGGGGCUUCGGCCCUGAGUAGAGUGGCGAACGGGUGAGUAACGCGUGGGUGACCUACCUUCGAGUGGGGGAUAACGUUCCGAAAGGAACGCUAAUACCGCAUGAAGUUCCGGGAUUGAAUACCUGGAAACCAAAGCCGGGGACCGUAAGGCCUGGCGCUUGGAGAGGGGCCCGCGUCUGAUUAGCUAGUUGGCGGGGUAAUGGCCCACCAAGGCGACGAUCAGUAGCCGGCCUGAGAGGGCGGACGGCCACACUGGGACUGAGACACGGCCCAGACUCCUACGGGAGGCAGCAGUGGGGAAUUGUUCGCAAUGGGCGCAAGCCUGACGACGCAACGCCGCGUGGGGGAUGAAGGUCUUCGGAUUGUAAACCCCUGUCGAGCGGGACGAAAGGCCCACGACCUAACACGUCGUGGGAGUGACGGUACCGCUAAAGGAAGCCACGGCUAACUCUGUGCCAGCAGCCGCGGUAAUACAGAGGUGGCAAGCGUUGUUCGGAAUUACUGGGCGUAAAGGGCGCGUAGGCGGCCUUCUAAGUCAGACGUGAAAUCCCCCGGCUCAACCUGGGAACUGCGUCUGAUACUGGAAGGCUUGAAUGCGGGAGAGGGAUGUAGAAUUCCAGGUGUAGCGGUGAAAUGCGUAGAUAUCUGGAGGAAUACCGGUGGCGAAGGCGGCAUCCUGGACCGACAUUGACGCUGAGGCGCGAAAGCUAGGGUAGCAAACGGGAUUAGAUACCC
RNAcentral lists this ribosomal RNA (800 nucleotides) under uncultured bacterium. RNAcentral's name for it is "bacterial SSU rRNA". It matches the Rfam family "Bacterial small subunit ribosomal RNA", at positions 8 to 787 of the family's 1533-position model. The record is from RNAcentral.